UGAAAAUGAUUGAAUACAACUUCUGUGGUGAGAAAAACAACUUAAAGAAUAUGAAGACUGGCUAAAGUUGAACUUCAGGUCACGAGAGAUGUUCAUAAGCUUAAGCUGUGAAAGGGAGCUGCAGGGAGCAUUCAGAGGUCACGUUUCUACCGCCACAAAGUACAGAAACACACAGAUGUUCUUGGAAUGUGUUUUGUGUUCCUCCCAGGUGUAGCUGAUACGAAAAGUCUUCUGUAUCUCUCCAACAAAUAGCACGACCAAGUCAGUCACAGCAGUACCUCAUGCCUGGUCACAACUUCUGUCCUAAUCAGCCUUCUAUUGCUGUGACAAGACACCAUAACCAGUGGAAAUAAAAGGCAGCUUUUACUUGGGAGGCUUGCUUUCAUAUUAGAGGGAGAAUAGUCUCUAUGUCACAGGUGACAUCCUGACUUCCUAGGAGCACCAGGAUUCCCAUCUCCACAAGAGACACCUUUUCACAACCGGAGAGAAAUAAACUUGUUUAGAAUUUAAGAGCCAGUGGAAUGCCUUUGGGCUUGGGCUCACUGGUUACUUAAAUCAAAUCAUUUUCUUUUUCUGGAUGUCUUAAAUCCCAAUGAUCACCAUAGGACCCAUUAGGAAGUCCAUGCAAAUUCUAGAAGGUUCCAUAGG
This 648-nucleotide long non-coding RNA is filed under the name Mus pahari (shrew mouse). RNAcentral describes it as "predicted gene 14100 (MGP_PahariEiJ_G0005552.1)". Lineage: Eukaryota; Metazoa; Chordata; Mammalia; Rodentia; Muridae. The record is from RNAcentral.